This 206-nucleotide long non-coding RNA is filed under the name Elaeis guineensis (African oil palm). Its description in RNAcentral is "long non-coding RNA (EGUI_LNC059054)". The record is from RNAcentral. Lineage: Eukaryota; Viridiplantae; Streptophyta; Magnoliopsida; Arecales; Arecaceae.
ACCUGGCCAAUUUGAUCUAAUUAAGUUUCGAACUUAGAUUGAUUAAUGAUGUAGACACUACAAAGGUCUUCCUUCAUGCUUUGUCAAUAGAGUAUGUUAAGAUCUUAGUGAGCUUGUUGUGCUAUUCACAAGGCUUACUAUAGAAAUUAAUAUAAUAUCGAUUAAGUGCAUACUGAUGCUUGUGGCAUAUUUGAAUAGUAUUGUCU